GAUGAAGAACGUAGUGAAAUGCGAUAGGUAAUGUGAAUUGCAGAAUUCAGUGAAUCAUCGAAUCUUUGAACGCACAUUGCGCCCCCUGGCAUUCCGGGGGGCAUGCCUGUCCGAGCGUCAUUUCUGCCCUCCAGCCCGGCUGGGUGUUGGGCGCUGUCCCCCCGGGGACACGCCCCAAAGGCAGUGGCGGCGCCGCGUCGGGUCCUCGAGCGUAUGGGGCUUUGUCACCCGCUCGGGACGGACUCGUCGGCGCUGGUCUUCCUCCAGGCGACCCUUCGGGGCUCGUCUUCCUUCGGUUGACCUCGGAUCAGGUAGGGUUACCCGCUGAACUUAAGCAUAUCAAUAAGCGGAGGA
This 354-nucleotide unclassified non-coding RNA is filed under the name soil metagenome. RNAcentral describes it as "partial contains 5.8S ribosomal RNA, internal transcribed spacer 2, and large subunit ribosomal RNA". The stretch from base 1 to 120 matches the Rfam family "5.8S ribosomal RNA", at positions 35 to 154 of the family's 154-position model. The record is from RNAcentral.